GUGGUCUGCUGUAGGGGAAGGAGGUGUGUUGCUCGCUCCUGCUGAAGGCACUUCACAACACAGAGGCCAGCUAGCUGACAGCAACCCUCAACCCCCCAGGGUCUGGACGCAACUGAGGGAGAGGGAACUGGGGGAACUAUGAAGCCACGAGAUGCAGAGAAGUGGCAAAUGGACAGGACCUUUGGUCCUAAGCAGACCCCAAACCUUGCUGAAGGGUUGGAAGGGAUGUUGGCCUACCAGACUCACCAUGUGGAAGUGUCCUCAUAUAGAGAUUGCAUAACUGAUGCCUGUGUAAAUCAUUCUGGUAGUCCUCAGAACCUGCAACUCAAGGACUGCUUAGAUAGCAUUUAGCAGAAAUGAA
Long non-coding RNA from Dermochelys coriacea (leatherback sea turtle), 361 nucleotides. RefSeq lists it as uncharacterized. Lineage: Eukaryota; Metazoa; Chordata; Testudines; Dermochelyidae. The transcript has 3 exons. The record is from RefSeq and is a predicted model, not a curated record.